This 239-nucleotide ribosomal RNA is filed under the name uncultured bacterium. RNAcentral describes it as "partial 16S ribosomal RNA". It matches the Rfam family "Bacterial small subunit ribosomal RNA", at positions 102 to 334 of the family's 1533-position model. The record is from RNAcentral.
CCGACGGGUGAGUAACACGUAUGCAAUCCACCUGUAACAGGGGGAUAACCCGGAGAAAUCCGGACUAAUACCCCAUAAUAUGGGCGCUCCGCAUGGAGAGUCCAUUAAAGAGAGCAAUCUUGGUUACAGACGAGCAUGCGCUCCAUUAGCCAGUUGGCGGGGUAACGGCCCACCAAAGCGACGAUGGAUAGGGGUUCUGAGAGGAAGGUCCCCCACAUUGGAACUGAGACACGGUCCAA